Non-coding RNA from Brachypodium distachyon (stiff brome), 136 nucleotides. NCBI's taxonomy places the organism in Eukaryota, Viridiplantae, Streptophyta, Magnoliopsida, Poales, Poaceae. The record is from Rfam.
AUCAUACUCCCUCCGUCCAAAAAAAGAUGUCUCAAGUCUGUGAAAUUUUGGAUGUAUCUAAACAUGACUUAGUGAAUAGAUGCAUCCAAAUUUAAUCAAAUUUGAGAGAUUCUUUGUUGGACGAAGGGAGUAGAAG